Molecule: non-coding RNA, 87 nt
Organism: Delitschia confertaspora ATCC 74209
Lineage: Eukaryota; Fungi; Ascomycota; Dothideomycetes; Pleosporales; Delitschiaceae
Source: the annotation of a GenBank genome assembly
GGCCGGUUGGCGCAAUGGUAGCGCGUCAGUUUUCGGAGAUAGUUUCUGAUACACUGAAGGUUGCGGGUUCGAUCCCCGUGCUGGUCG